RNAcentral lists this ribosomal RNA (423 nucleotides) under uncultured bacterium. RNAcentral describes it as "bacterial SSU rRNA". It matches the Rfam family "Bacterial small subunit ribosomal RNA", at positions 355 to 775 of the family's 1533-position model. The record is from RNAcentral.
UAAGGAAUAUUGGACAAUGGUCGCAAGACUGAUCCAGCCAUGCCGCGUGCAGGAUUAAGGCCCUAUGGGUCGUAAACUGCUUUUAUACGGGACAAAACCCCUCUACGUGUAGAGGGCUGAUGGUACUGUAAGAAUAAGGGUCGGCUAACUUCGUGCCAGCAGCCGCGGUAAUACGAAGGACCCGAGCGUUAUCCGGAUUUAUUGGGUUUAAAGGGUGCGUAGGCGGAUUUAUAAGUCAGUGGUGAAAGCCUAUAGCUUAACUAUAGAAUUGCCAUUGAUACUGUAGGUCUUGAGUACAGUUGAGGUGGGCGGAAUGUGCAGUGUAGCGGUGAAAUGCUUAGAUAUUGCACAGAACACCAAUUGCGAAGGCAGCUCGCUAAGCUGUAACUGACGCUGAGGCACGAAAGUGUGGGUAGCAAACAG